UCUUUCCGGAAUUGAGUGGCAAACGGGUGAGUAACACGUAAACAACCUGCCUUCAGGAUGGGAACAACAGUUGGAAACGACUGCUAAUACCGCAUAUGCCAUAAGAGCCACAUGGUUCAAGUGGGAAAGGAGCAAUCCGCUGAUAGAUGGACUUAUAUCUGAUUAGCUAGUUGGUGUGGUAACGGCAUACCAAGGCGAUGAUCAGUAGCCGAACUGAGAGGUUAAUCGGCCACAUUGGGACUGAGAUACGGCCCAGACUCC
RNAcentral lists this ribosomal RNA (261 nucleotides) under uncultured Oscillospiraceae bacterium. Its description in RNAcentral is "partial 16S ribosomal RNA". It matches the Rfam family "Bacterial small subunit ribosomal RNA", at positions 80 to 339 of the family's 1533-position model. The record is from RNAcentral. Lineage: Bacteria; Bacillati; Bacillota; Clostridia; Eubacteriales; Oscillospiraceae.